GCUGGGUGUGGUGGUGCGCACCUGUAAUCCCAGCUACUCAGGAGGCUGAGGCAUGAGAAUCGCUUGAACCUGGGAGGUGGAGGUUGCAGUGAGCCGAGAUGGUGCCACUGCACUCCUGCCUAGGUAACAGAGCAAGACCCUGUCUCAA
Molecule: non-coding RNA, 148 nt
Filed under: Homo sapiens (human)
Lineage: Eukaryota; Metazoa; Chordata; Mammalia; Primates; Hominidae
Source: Rfam by way of RNAcentral